RNAcentral lists this ribosomal RNA (1398 nucleotides) under Triticum aestivum (bread wheat). RNAcentral describes it as "partial small subunit ribosomal RNA". The record is from RNAcentral. Lineage: Eukaryota; Viridiplantae; Streptophyta; Magnoliopsida; Poales; Poaceae.
AUGACUUGUACUCAUGCAGCAUUGAAGAGAAGAGACUUUCUUCAAUUGGGUUUCAAAUAUGACAAUUUACUGAUGGAAGAAAGUGCACAGAUAUUGGAGAUAGAGACUUUUAUACCAACUCUCCUGCAACGGCAGGAAGAUGGCUAUGCUCGUCUCAAACGUUGCAUUUUAAUUGGUGAUCACCAUCAGUUACCCCCUGUCGUGAAGAACAUGGCUUUUCAGAAGUACAGCCACAUGGACCAGAGUCUCUUCACAAGGUUUGUUCGCCUUGGUGUCCCUUAUAUUGAACUCAAUGCUCAGGGUCGUGCCAGACCUAGUAUUGCUCAGCUUUAUAAUUGGAGAUACAGAGAACUGGGAGAUCUGCCUUAUGUACAUGAGGAAGCUAUAUUCCAUAAAGCUAAUUCUGGGUUCUCUUACGAGUAUCAGCUGGUUGAUGUUCCUGAUUAUCGUGGCAGAGGCGAGUCUGCUCCUUCUCCUUGGUUCUACCAGAAUGAAGGGGAGGCUGAGUAUAUUGUUAGUGUCUAUAUUUACAUGCGUCUGAUUGGAUACCCUGCCAAUAAGAUUUCAAUAUUAACCACUUACAAUGGUCAGAAGCUUCUUAUUCGUGAUGUUAUCAGCAGACGAUGCAAGCCAUGGAAUAUUGAGCCACCUUGCAAGGUUACUACGGUGGACAAAUUCCAGGGUCAACAAAAUGAUUUUAUUUUAUUGUCUCUUGUCCGGACCCGAUUUGUGGGUCAUCUUCGUGAUGUCAGAAGGCUUAUUGUGGCAAUGUCCCGUGCUCGGUUGGGUUUAUAUGUGUUCUGCCGCUGUUCUCUGUUUGAACAAUGUUAUGAACUGCAGCCAACAUUCCAGCUUCUACUCCAAAGGCCCGAUAAGCUUGCGUUAAAUCUUGAAGAGUGCACUCCGUUUACAGAGCGACCUUUGGGAGAAGCUGGAAAUAUUCAUUAUAUUACUGAUGUUGAAGAUAUUGGACACUUGGUGAACUUCAGACUGGAACAUCUUCGCCAGAUGCAAUCCAUGCAAUAUUAUGCACCCCAUGCAAAUGCUGAUGCAGCCCCUCCUGAAACUGGCAAUGGUGAUAUUGUUUUGGAUAAUGCGAAGGAUGGCACAGAGAAAGAAAAUGGUGAGGCAACUGAUGCUGUGAACAAUGACAAGAUAGAGGAAGAUACUGUUGAGUCAAAAGAUGAUACGGUGCAGGAAGUAAACAAGAUGGAUGAAGGUAAUGUGACUAGAGAAGACAAGAUGGGGGAAGAAAGUGCUGAUGAGGCUAAGGACAAGAUGGUGGAAACUACUGCUGAAGUGGCUAUUGAGAACAACAUAGUGGAAGUAAAUGCCAAUGUGGCCAAGGACAAGAUGGACGAAGAAAAUGCCUUGUCAAAGGGCGUGGAGCAAGAUUGA